This 301-nucleotide ribosomal RNA is filed under the name uncultured bacterium. RNAcentral's name for it is "partial 16S ribosomal RNA". It matches the Rfam family "Bacterial small subunit ribosomal RNA", at positions 509 to 809 of the family's 1533-position model. The record is from RNAcentral.
CAGCAGCCGCGGUCAUACGAGGGGGGCAAGCGUUGUUCGGAAUUAUUGGGCGUAAAGGGUGCGUAGGCGGUUUCGUAAGUCUGAUGUGAAAUCUAUGGGCUCAACCCAUAGUCUGCAUCGGAAACUGCGAGGCUUGAGAAUGGGAGAGGUGAGUGGAAUUUCCGGUGUAGCGGUGAAAUGCGUAGAUAUCGGAAGGAACACCUGUGGCGAAAGCGGCUCACUGGACCAUUUCUGACGCUGAUGCACGAAAGCUAGGGGAGCAAACAGGAUUAGAUACCCCCGUAGUCCCUGUCUCUUAUAA